GUGAAAUUGUUGAAAGGGAAGGGAUUGCAACCAGACUUGCUCGCGGUGUUCCGCCGGUCUUUUGACCGGUCUACUCGCCGCGUUGCAGGCCAGCAUCGUCUGGUGCCGCUGGAUAAGACUUUGGGAAUGUAGCUCCCUCGGGAGUGUUAUAGCCUCUUGUGAUGCAGCGAGCGCCGGGCGAGGUCCGCGCUUCGGCUAGGAUGCUGGCGUAAUGGUCGUAAUCCGCCCGUCUUGAAACACGGACCAAGGAGUCA
RNAcentral lists this ribosomal RNA (254 nucleotides) under uncultured fungus. RNAcentral describes it as "partial 28S ribosomal RNA". It matches the Rfam family "Eukaryotic large subunit ribosomal RNA", at positions 399 to 676 of the family's 3401-position model. The record is from RNAcentral. Lineage: Eukaryota; Fungi.